ACCCCCGUCUUCUGCACCUGUCUUCAGGCUGCGGCUGAGGCCAGCUUUAUGUAUAUGAAGCCCCAAGUCAGUGGCAGAUAAAGGCGCUGCCACAGAGCCCAGCUGUCCCUCUCCCCCAAGAAGGGUUCAGGGCAGGGCCUCCCCGGGAGAAAUGGGGGCCUGGGGCAGACAGAAGUCAAGCAGGACUUGGCAUUUCUGCCCAUCCAUCACCAGCUCCCCAGAGAGGUGCCUUCCCGCCAGUCAGACGUUUUUGAGAAACCAGUCAUCUCACCCAAGUUCAAGGCCCCAUUAGAACAGGCAAAGGGACUGGGCCACGGUGCUCAUUCCCUGGUACCGCAGCGGUGGCGGGAACUGUAGGCACCUGGGUGUCCAUUCGAACCUCCGGGGUGUAGGGAGUAGGAGCAGGGGCCUUGGCCAACUCCUAAGUGGUAGGGGACCAGGGAGUGCCCCUGGGAGGAUGGGGCAAGUGACCCUCCCUGUCUUUGUGUCAGUGCAACGGGAUGUCCAACCGCUUCUGGGGCUGGGGCCGCGAAGACGACGAGUUCUACCGGCGCAUCAAAGGGGCCGGGCUGCAGCUUUUCCGCCCCUCGGGAAUCACAACUGGGUACAAGACAUUUCGCCACCUGCAUGACCCAGCCUGGCGGAAGAGGGACCAGAAGCGCAUCGCAGCUCAGAAACAGGAGCAAUUCAAGGUGGACCGGGAGGGUGGCCUGAGCACCGUGAAGUACCGCGUAGAUUCCCGCACCGCCCUGUCGGUUAGCGGGGCCCCCUGCACUGUUCUCAACAUCCUGUUGGACUGUGACAAGGCUGCCACCCCCUGGUGCACGUUUGGCUGAGCCGGCGUGACAGUAAGGAAGCCUGUGCCCACAGGCCACGCAGCUCCUCAGGCCCGGGACCCAACUCCAGUAGGAUGCGGAGGGGCCCGAGACAGCGGAUAGCAGGCCACCCAUUGCAGCAGCCCGGCCCCCCAGGGACAGGCUGGAGCCGGGACAGGACACACCCUUGGGUGCCUGGGAUGCUGCUAGCAAGAAACAGUGACGGAGAGGCUGGAAUGCAGCUCCCACCUGGGACCAGCCACCCCCUUCCUGCUUGCCCUGCUCUGCCCGCCUUCGCGUGCUCAGACCUCAGGGCUUUUGGUUCCUUCCCCUGGACCGCCUCGUGCAGAAGCCGAUCCGGACGGUCAGAACUGCAGGAACCGGCGUGCAGGUCCCACAGAAAGGGAGCGGGCCCCAUGUGGCCGGAUCUUCCGAUGUUUUCAAAAGAAACUAGAAUUCUGGAUCCUUAAGUGAAAUCGGGUACUUUUUAAACGCUAGCAACUAACUGAAACUUCAGAAAAGGAUGGCGGGCCAAACAACACGUGUUGUGGACCACCAGUUUGUCGCCUGUGACCGAGCGGAGGGGGAGGGGGCAAAAGAUGGCACUUCUCUUAGAGAUAAGCUGGCAAGGGGUUGGGACAGGACUGGGGAUGCCAAGGCCAGAGGAAGCUCAGAUGGGAGAGAAGCCAAAGAGUAAGGUUCCUGCCACAUCCCACAGCCGUCCAGGCUUCGCUGCCCUUCCGGCAGUCGUUCCCGGGGCCCUGAUGGGCUCCAGCUCUGGGGUGGGGGCACUUCAUUGUGCCACACUGGGAUGGACAGACAGAUCCACAGGCCUGGGCUCAGGGUAGGCAGAAGGUGCCGGCAAGGACCUGGUCGUAGCUUGAGGGUGGGAGGACCACGUUUCUGAGGAGGGAAGAAGACAACGAGAGGCAGGAGUACCCUGGAGUGUUCCCACAGCAUGAGGGCAGACUAUCACUGAUCACAUGAUGUCGAGGAGAGGCGAAGGAGGGGAGCCAAGGGAGACCAUGGAAUUGGGGAGUGACCUUGGAGGAAUUACCUGCAAGGAAGGGCAGGGCCAGUCAGAGUGGGAGGUGAGGGGCUCUGCAAGGCUCUUCAAGGCGUCUGACUGGUAAAGAUUUAGGCCAGAAGUCAGAGGAGUCUUGGGACCAGUGAAGAUCAGUUUGUUUAACAAUAAAUAGGACACCUGAAAUGCUAGAAGAAGGGAUUGAAGUUCCAGAGUUCGAGAGGGUGGAUUCAAUAGCUGUGCUCCAAAAAGAUACACCUCUGAGGAUGAUCUCAGGGAGGCUGUGUGCAGUUGUGGGGGUUGUGCACUGCAUCACCUGAGCACAGUGUAAUUGAGUACAAUGUAACUAUUCAGAUGUUACCCUAAAUUGCCCUCUUCCAGCAGUUCAGCUUCACUCAGCACAGGGAGGAGCGAGCACAUGGUUGGCCAAUGACAGUGCAAGGAUGGAGGGAGGGGCUUGCUCAACUUGAGGUCCAGGAGAGGGGAGUGAAGCGCUCCCCCUGGACCAGUCUCUGGACAACCCUGGCUGCGUCAUCUUGGACUUCUAUAACAUGGAGGCAGAUCACCAGCCUCUUUGGAGUUGGGGAGACUAGAUGUGCCAUCAGAGCUCGGUACUCACCUAGCAUAUAGCAAGACCCACAAGAAUAGGGAGCUCCCUCCUUGCCACCUGCACAGAAGGAGCAGAAUGAAGCAGGACCAGCUGCCUCGGCUGGGAAAGGUCCCCUACCCCCUUUCCAUGGCCACUGCCCCACCUCCUUCCAGGAGCCUACGCACACCCCAGGCCAGGACUGGUGCAGCCUCCCUCCCCAGCGGGGACCACUCUAGGAAAGGAGGAGGGGGCUGAGCGGUGGCUGCCACAGGGAAGAAGCAGACUGCUCUGCCACUUCCUCAGCACCUUGGUUGCCUGCUCCACGGAGGGGAGCUGACAUCCUUGUCUUGCCGGCCAGGGCAUGGAGGAAGUGGACCAGGAUGUAGCAGCAGCCGGCGCGGCAUUCGGCCAGCGUGUGGCUAGAAUGGCAACUAGCCCUCGUCGGGCAUUAACCACAUACAGAAUGCUCGCCGUGGCGCUAUCUCAGUAAGCCUCGCUCCACCUGAGCUAGGUGGUGGUUAUUCACCUGUUCUAGAGAUGAGGCUGACGAAGCCUGGAGAGAUCUACCGGCAUUGACCUUGGCCCAGAAGACUCCUCCGAACCAGCCCCUGCGACAGUACUCGUGUAACUCCCUGGGGAUGGUGGUAUGCCUUACCGUGAUUCUCCACCUGGGGUGAUUUUGUUUCCCAAGGAACAUUUGGCAGAAAUCUGAAGACAUUUUUGUUGUCAUAACCAUGGAGGAUGCUCCUGGCAUCUAGUGGGAAUAUGCUAGGAAUGCUGCUUAACACCCUAGAACCCACAGGUCAGCCCCCACAACAAAGAAUGGUCGGGCCCAAGCCGUCAGUAGAGCCGAGGUUGAGAAAAUCUCAUAUAGAACCCCGGCCUCACCGUUCGCUAGCUGUGCGACUUCCUUCCCUCUCCAAGCUUCAGGCUUCUCAUCUGCGAAGUUAAAUAACAUAGCCUAGGACGCUUAAGUGGUUCAGUUGGUUAAGCGUCUGCCUUUAGCUCAGGUCAAGAUCCCAGGGUACUGGGAUCGAGCCCCACAUUGGACACUUGGCUCGGUGGGGAGACAGCCCCCCUUACUUGUGCUCUCUUUAUCUCUCUGUGUCAAACAAAUAAAUAAAAUCGUAAAAAAAUAAUAAUAACGUGUCGAUAUGAAGUGCCUAGCACAGAUAAUAGGUGCUCAAAUUUAAUUAUGUCUGACCUAUCCUGGGAUGCAGGGGGAUUUAGUCUUCCUGAAAAAUGAGAGAACAUUUUUUUUUAGAUGUAUUUCUUGCUUCCAAGCAUAGCUGCUGCUAGUCAAGGUCCUAUCACAGCUAUGGAGAAUUUUUUUUAGUUUAUUUAUUUAUUUAAGUAAUCUCUACACCCAACAUGGGGGCUCAAACUCACCACCUCAGGAGAUAGAGAGUCGCAUGUUCUACUGACGGAGCCAGCCAGGCGCCCCAAAGCUGUGGAGAAUUAAAGUGUGUCCAUACCUCUUUUUUUCUCACCCCUAUUGCUUUUUUUUUUUUAAGACUUUAUUUAUUCGACAGAGAUAGAAACAGCCAGCG
Molecule: RNA transcript, 3978 nt
Organism: Ailuropoda melanoleuca (giant panda)
Lineage: Eukaryota; Metazoa; Chordata; Mammalia; Carnivora; Ursidae
Gene: B4GALT7
Gene name: beta-1,4-galactosyltransferase 7
Exons: 4
Source: RefSeq, a predicted model, not a curated record